This 678-nucleotide long non-coding RNA is filed under the name Heterocephalus glaber (naked mole-rat). Its description in RNAcentral is "lncRNA (ENSHGLG00000032939.1)". The record is from RNAcentral. Lineage: Eukaryota; Metazoa; Chordata; Mammalia; Rodentia; Bathyergidae.
AGCAGGUUGGGCAACCAUCACAAUGACCUAAUUUUAGAACAUUCCAUCACUCUCCACCUCUGUCUCUGUUUGUUCCUGCCUCUCUCCAGCCCAGGAAGCCACUGAUCUCCUUUCUGUCUCUAAAGGGAUUCUAGCUUUGACUUAAUGUAUUAAGCAAAGUCCAGGAUUUAAUCAAGGAAAGGAGGCCAUCAGGAAAAUGAAAAUCAACUACACAGUUUUGCAGAAAUCAGACCUGUGGAAACAGGACUGCUCCAGGGACUAUCUUGAGCCAGCAAACAGAACUGUGAAGACAAGUAAGGAGCCCCAACCCUGAGAACACCUUACAGCAGGACUGAAACCACCAUCACUGACCUAAGGGGGUGAGGAUGACAGAAAUUGGAAGACACUGGUGUAACGUGAGAACCGAGGAGACCGCAGAGUUGACAAUAUCUCCUCAUACACUGCUGACUGGCUGUCUUGACUUUCUUCGGUGGAAUAUCAUAUAUCCUAUAAAUAAUCACAGAUUUGUCAUUUUCUUCCCAAUAGUUAUAUGUCCCAUUUCUUUAUUUUUAAAAUCAUGUUAUCUAGGCACUUCAGUAAAAUUUUAAAUGAUUAUGAUUAAGAUAAGCAAACUUAUCUAGCUUAAAUGGAAAUGAUUGUUUUAGCAUUAAGCAUGGUGCUUAUUAUGUGUUGUAGUAG